Molecule: unclassified non-coding RNA, 301 nt
Filed under: uncultured Helotiales
Lineage: Eukaryota; Fungi; Ascomycota; Leotiomycetes; Helotiales
Description: sequence contains ITS1
Rfam family: 5.8S ribosomal RNA (bases 1-105)
Source: RNAcentral
GAAAUGCGAUAAGUAAUGUGAAUUGCAGAAUUCAGCGAAUCAUCGAAUUUUUGAACGCACAUUGCGCCUCAGGGUAUUCCUUGAGGCAUACCUGUUCGAGCGUCGUUUAGACCAUAAGGCUUUGCCUUGCGUUGAGCGCUGGAGUUAUAUCCAGCGGUCCAAACAUGUUGGCGUCGUAGUUUGACCAAGACACACACAAGUGAGACUGGUUCGGAUGGAACGAUUUGCCUUGAAUCAACUGUUUCCUUUUUGGAAACGUAGGUUCGACCUCGGAUCAGGUAAGACUACCCGCUGAACUUAA